RNAcentral lists this ribosomal RNA (571 nucleotides) under Tiarosporella paludosa. RNAcentral describes it as "eukaryotic LSU rRNA". It matches the Rfam family "Eukaryotic large subunit ribosomal RNA", at positions 38 to 625 of the family's 3401-position model. The record is from RNAcentral. Lineage: Eukaryota; Fungi; Ascomycota; Dothideomycetes; Botryosphaeriales; Botryosphaeriaceae.
GCAUAUCAAUAAGCGGAGGAAAAGAAACCAACAGGGAUUGCCUUAGUAACGGCGAGUGAAGCGGCAACAGCUCAAAUUUGAAAGCUGGCUCUUUUAGGGUCCGCGUUGUAAUUUGUAGAGGAUGAUUCGGCGAGGGCUCCCGCCUAAGUCCCCUGGAACGGGGCGUCAUAGAGGGUGAGAAUCCCGUAUGCGGUGGGCUGCCUUAGCCAUGUGAAUCUCCUUCGACGAGUCGAGUUGUUUGGGAAUGCAGCUCUAAAUGGGAGGUAAAUUUCUUCUAAAGCUAAAUACCGGCCAGAGACCGAUAGCGCACAAGUAGAGUGAUCGAAAGAUGAAAAGCACUUUGGAAAGAGAGUUAAAAAGUACGUGAAAUUGUUGAAAGGGAAGCGCUUGCAACCAGACUUGUCCGCAGUUGCUCAGCCGGUCUCCUGACCGGCGUACUCUUCUGCGGCCAGGCCAGCAUCAGUUCGGGCGGUCGGAUAAAGACCUCGGGAAUGUAGCUCCUCUCGGGGAGUGUUAUAGCCCGGGGUGGAAUGCGGCCAGCCUGGACUGAGGAUCUCGCUCGGCAAGGAUG